CUCGUAGGCGGCCAACUAAGUCAGACGUGAAAUCCCCAGGCUUAACUUGGGAACUGCGUCUGAUACUGGAUGGCUUGAGUUUGGGAGAGGGAUGCGGAAUUCCAGGUGUAGCGGUGAAAUGCGUAGAUAUCUGGAGGAACACCGGUGGCGAAGGCGGCAUCCUGGACCGACAUUGACGCUGAGGAGCGAAAGCCAGGGGAGCAAACG
Molecule: ribosomal RNA, 207 nt
Filed under: uncultured bacterium
Lineage: Bacteria
Description: partial 16S ribosomal RNA
Rfam family: Bacterial small subunit ribosomal RNA
Source: RNAcentral